GAAUUCCUUGUGGGCUACCCCCCACCAUCACCAAUGGAGAUUUCAUUAGCACCAACAGAGAGAAUUUUCACUAUGGAUCAGUGGUGACCUACCGCUGCAAUCCUGGAAGCGGAGGGAGAAAGGUGUUUGAGCUUGUGGGUGAGCCCUCCAUAUACUGCACCAGCAAUGACGAUCAAGUGGGCAUCUGGAGCGGCCCGGCACCUCAGUGCAUUAUACCUAACAAAUGCACGCCUCCAAAUGUGGAAAAUGGAAUAUUGGUAUCUGACAACAGAAGCUUAUUUUCCUUAAAUGAAGUUGUGGAGUUUAGGUGUCAGCCUGGCUUUGUCAUGAAAGGACCCCCCCGUGUGAAGUGCCAGGCCCUGAACAAAUGGGAGCCGGAGCUACCAAGCUGCUCCAGGGUAUGUCAGCCACCUCCAGAUGUCCUGCAUGCUGAGCGUACCCAAAGGGACAAGGACAACUUUUCACCCGGGCAGGAGGUGUUCUACAGCUGUGAGCCCGGCUACGACCUCAGAGGGGCUGCGUCUCUGCGCUGCACACCCCAGGGAGACUGGAGCCCUGCAACCCCCACAUGUGAAGUGAAAUCCUGUGAUGACUUCAUGGGCCAACUUCUUAAUGGCCGUGUGCUAUUUCCAGUAAAUCUCCAGCUUGGAGCAAAAGUGGAUUUUGUUUGUGAUGAAGGAUUUCAAUUAAAAGGCAGCUCUGCUAGUUACUGUGUCUUGGCUGGAAUGGAAAGCCUUUGGAAUAGCAGUGUUCCAGUGUGUGAAC
Molecule: small RNA, 765 nt
Filed under: Pan troglodytes (chimpanzee)
Lineage: Eukaryota; Metazoa; Chordata; Mammalia; Primates; Hominidae
Description: retained intron
Source: RNAcentral